This 255-nucleotide ribosomal RNA is filed under the name uncultured bacterium. Its description in RNAcentral is "partial 16S ribosomal RNA". It matches the Rfam family "Bacterial small subunit ribosomal RNA", at positions 524 to 776 of the family's 1533-position model. The record is from RNAcentral.
UACGAAGGGGGCUAGCGUUGCUCGGAAUCACUGGGCGUAAAGGGCGCGUAGGCGGCCGAUCAAGUCAGGGGUGAAAGCCUGUGGCUCAACCACAGAAUUGCCUUUGAUACUGUUCGGCUCGAGACCGGAAGAGGUAAGUGGAACUGCGAGUGUAGAGGUGAAAUUCGUAGAUAUUCGCAAGAACACCAGUGGCGAAGGCGGCUUACUGGUCCGGUUCUGACGCUGAGGCGGCGAAAAGCGUGGGGAGCAAACAGG